ACCCGCACAAGCGGUGGAUGAUGUGGAUUAAUUCGAUGCAACGCGAAAAACCUUACCUACCCUUGACAUGUCUGGAACCUUGCUGAGAGGCGAGGGUGCCUUCGGGAGCCAGAACACAGGUGCUGCAUGGCUGUCGUCAGCUCGUGUCGUGAGAUGUUGGGUUAAGUCCCGCAACGAGCGCAACCCUUGUCAUUAGUUGCCAUCAUUUAGUUGGGCACUCUAAUGAGACUGCCGGUGACAAACCGGAGGAAGGUGGGGAUGACGUCAAGUCCUCAUGGCCCUUAUGGGUAGGGCUUCACACGUCAUACAAUGGUCGGUACAGAGGGUUGCCAAGCCGCGAGGUGGAGCCAAUCCCUUAAAGCCGAUCGUAGUCCGGAUCGUAGUCUGCAACUCGACUACGUGAAGUCGGAAUCGCUAGUAAUCGCAGAUCAGCAUACUGCGGUGAAUACGUUCCCGGGUCUU
RNAcentral lists this ribosomal RNA (462 nucleotides) under uncultured Thauera sp. RNAcentral describes it as "bacterial SSU rRNA". It matches the Rfam family "Bacterial small subunit ribosomal RNA", at positions 919 to 1382 of the family's 1533-position model. The record is from RNAcentral. Lineage: Bacteria; Pseudomonadati; Pseudomonadota; Betaproteobacteria; Rhodocyclales; Zoogloeaceae.